AGCUUUGUGCAGUGGCAGUAUCUUAGCCAAUGAGGUUUAUCCGAGGAGCAAUUAUUGCUAAUUGAAACCCUACCUCAAACCACUCUUGUUCAAAUCUACUAUGAUAGACAGAAAUGGAUCCUGUGUAGCUAA
This 132-nucleotide small nuclear RNA is filed under the name Chinchilla lanigera (long-tailed chinchilla). Its description in RNAcentral is "U4 spliceosomal RNA (ENSCLAG00000020734.1)". It matches the Rfam family "U4 spliceosomal RNA". From Rfam's summary of the family: U4 small nuclear RNA (U4 snRNA) is a component of the major U2-dependent spliceosome. The structure of U4 snRNA from yeast and human has been reported. U4 snRNA presents a k-turn RNA motif in the 5p-SL related to recognition of Snu13 protein. Lineage: Eukaryota; Metazoa; Chordata; Mammalia; Rodentia; Chinchillidae. The record is from RNAcentral.